GUGAGGAAUAUUGGUCAAUGGACGGAAGUCUGAACCAGCCAUGCCGCGUGCAGGAAUAAGGUCCUAUGGAUUGUAAACUGCUUUUAUUCGGGAAUAAACCUCUUUACGUGUAGGGAGCUGAAGGUACCGAAGGAAUAAGCACCGACUAACUCCGUGCCAGCAGCCGCGGUAAUACGGAGGGUGCAAGCGUUAUCCGGAAUCAUUGGGUUUAAAGGGUCCGCAGGCGGGCUAUCAAGUCAGAGGUGAAAUCCCACAGCUUAACUGUGGAACUGCCUUUGAAACUGAUGGUCUUGAAUUAAGUGGGCGUUGGCGGAAUAUGACAUGUAGCGGUGAAAUGCAUAGAUAUGUCAUGGAACACCGAAAGCGAAGGCAGCUAACGAUACUUAUAUUGACGCUCAUGGACGAAAGCGUGGGUAGCGAACAGGAUUAGAAACCCCAGUAGUCC
RNAcentral lists this ribosomal RNA (445 nucleotides) under uncultured bacterium. RNAcentral's name for it is "partial 16S ribosomal RNA". It matches the Rfam family "Bacterial small subunit ribosomal RNA", at positions 354 to 796 of the family's 1533-position model. The record is from RNAcentral.